CCCUUAGAUGUUCUGGGCCGCACGCGCGCUACACUGAUGCAUUCAACGAGCCUAGCCUUGACCGAGAGGUCCGGGUAAUCUUCGAAACUGCAUCGUGAUGGGGCUAGAUUAUUGCAAUUAUUAAUCUUCAACGAGGAAUGCCUAGUAAGCGUGAUUCAUCAAAUCGCGUUGAUUACGUCCCUGCCCUUUGUACACACCGCCCGUCGCUCCUACCGAUUGAGUGUGUUGGUGAGGAGUUUGGAUUGGCCUCGGAAGGUGGUUCGCCACCGUCCGUAGCUGAGAAGUUCUCCAAACCGCCCCACUUAGAGGAAGGAGAAGUCGUAACA
RNAcentral lists this ribosomal RNA (326 nucleotides) under uncultured eukaryote. Its description in RNAcentral is "partial 18S ribosomal RNA". It matches the Rfam family "Eukaryotic small subunit ribosomal RNA", at positions 1470 to 1796 of the family's 1831-position model. The record is from RNAcentral.